GCCAUCUGUAAAACACAGUGGAGGCUCUGUCAUGGUUUGGGGAUGCAGUUCAGCCAGUGGUGUUGGAGAUCUUGUUGAAGUUGAUGGAAUUAGGAACACAGAAAAGUAUCAUCAGAUUCUGAUCCAUCAUGCAACAGGUUUUUUUCUUUUUUUGUUUGGACCUGACAGUGAUAGCAAACCAAAUCAGUCAUGGACUCAACAUUAUGGAAGCAGUGCGCGAUCAUCCUAACAAGAGAACAGAACAAAAGGCAGGGAAUGGGAUCCAAAAAUACUUUGAUUCUAUCCCCAAAAGUUGAUACUGUUCAUCUUGAUGUAGCGUUUUCAGUGGGAGAAACGUUUCAUCACUCAUUCAAGUGAUUUCUUGAGUCUCAGCUGACUGCAGGUUUCCCCAGUCUUAUAAACAGAUAGAUCAAAGAUACUUUGAUUCUAAUAAAAUGCUGAAUUCUUUAAGUGUUUUCUGUUACAGGGACAAUACACUGCUCCAAAAAAAAAAAAAAAAAAGAUCAUGUGAUCACACCAGAGUUAUCAGUGUGUCCAGUUAUCAAACAGAAACCACUGUGGAUCCAGUUCACAUUCCUUGGUGCAAAAUGAAAGUGACAACAGAAUAAAAAAGGAAAUGGUUUGCAGGUGAUGGCCACAGACCACUGCUGGUGAUGAGAGCAGGUUCAGACUGAGCACAUGUGACAAAUGUGUGUGUCUGGAGACACCGUGGGAAACCUGCUGCCCCAACAUAACUGGAUCUGCCAGUGGUGAAUACCAGCUGCACAGCCCUGGUGUAACUGGACAGAAUGACCAACUGGCACAGAUGCAAACUACCUGCCUUCAAUGCAUCAAGACCCAGAUUAGGCUGGCAUUUAAACUACCAAUAAACAACCUCCAGUCCUCUGCAUUGUAACAACCCAUUGCACUCAAAAGACCUUUAACAUCAACACAAAAGAUAAAGUCAUCAUCCAUUUGGACGAAUGGAAUAAGAUCAUUCUCAAAAAUUUGAUUUCUGGAGGCAGGAGGUUUUUCUCACUGAGGCGACAGUCGCUUCCUUUGGCAUAUCUAAAUCUCAUCCUCAGUCAUUUAACUGUGCCUGAGUGAAUAACUGGGAGACAGAUGAGCUGCUAGAAGAUGGAUCUUCAAAGUCCCCAUCAUUACAAUGUCAUGCAUCUGGAGACAAGACACUCUCAUCAGCAUUUUUUUCAAAUAUUAUUAACAUUAAAACAGAAAAAAAAAGAAAACAAAAGGUAUAUGGAAACAUUUAUCGCAUUGAUAAACACCAAUCCAUAUUGAAAGAAAACCUUUUUUGUAACUAAGUAUAACAAACAAGAUGUUAAAAACUUUUCCUUAUUUCUAAAGAAACCAAACAUUUAUCAGUUAUACCAACUGGCUUUUAAAAAAACUCCAAAUCAAGUUCAAAAAAAGGUCUCCAAAUAUUUUCUGGCUUCCACUAUAUACAGUCCCAGUCAAAAGUUUAAGACCACUUGAAAAAUGGCAAAAAAUCAUAUUUUGCAUGGUUGGAUCUUAACAAGGUUCCAAGUAGAGCUUCAACAUCCAACAAGAAGAAAAGGGAGUGAGACAAAACAUUUUUUUGAGCAUGCAAACAGCGCUUAAACUGAAACAGGCUGUCUUACAGCUGCAUAAAAUGCAGUAUUUGUAGUGUGUUAUUCCGAGGCGUGAGUUCAGCAUCUGUGUUACAGCACAAGCUGAUUUCCAAUCCUCUGCUGAGAUGUCAGCUUCCAAAUAUACAUUCUAUGGAUUUAACUCAUGUUGUGAACUGAUAAGAAUCAAAUGUUACAAAAAAAUAAAAUAAAAUUGUGAAACAAUGUCUUUUGUUAAAAGCCAAAAUAAAACGUGGUCAUUUUUAAUUCAGCAGGUAUUAUAUGGAUUUAUAAAAAAUUAAAUGGAAUGCAGUCAUUUUUAAUGUAACCAGUUUAACUCAUAUGUUCAUUUUAAGUAGGUGUUUUAUGUUAAUACAAAGUAAUGAUAUUUAAAAUAUACUACAUAUUAUGCACUAAGCUCCCAGUUUCCCUUUCUCAGUGUCAAAUAUAAUAUGAACAUUCAUGAUAGUGUACUGGACUGCAUUAUGUUUAAAAGGGUUUCUAAUAUUUUAUUCUCCUGACUGACGUUCACUACCAGUUAAAGGUUUGGACACACCUUCUCAUUUAUUUUCACUUGUGCUACUUACUCCGAGUUUCUAUGGAAGCAAUAAGGGUGAACUUAGUAUUCCAGAGGACUGCACAAAGCCCUGUGAUGA
Molecule: long non-coding RNA, 2242 nt
Organism: Oreochromis niloticus (Nile tilapia)
Lineage: Eukaryota; Metazoa; Chordata; Actinopteri; Cichliformes; Cichlidae
Exons: 2
Source: RefSeq, a predicted model, not a curated record